Molecule: ribosomal RNA, 642 nt
Filed under: Brachyta bifasciata
Lineage: Eukaryota; Metazoa; Arthropoda; Insecta; Coleoptera; Cerambycidae
Description: partial large subunit ribosomal RNA
Source: RNAcentral
AGAGUACGUGAAACCGUUCAGGGGUAAACCUGAGAAACCCGAAAGGUCGAAAGGGGAAAUUCAUUCGCGUUUCGGCCGUCGGCGUCGGAUGGUCGAGUGACGGACGGCGUACGCGUCGUCCGCGCCUUCCUUCCGUCGAACCUUCGUCGAACGCGUGCACUUUUCCCCUAGUAGGACGUCGCGAUCCAUUGGGUGUCGGUCUAAGGUCCGCGGUGGAGUCCGUGUGUACGCUUCGCGGCGUACGCUCGAACCCGCGGUGUCCCGGCCGACUCGCUCGAUGGUAUACAGAUGGCGCGGGGCCGCUACUCAGUUAGCGUUCGGCCUGCGGCAAGCGCGUUCGGCGUUUGACGGCGAUCGGACCCGGUGCCGGUCCUGUCCCCGAACGACUGUUGGCCGUGGUGUUCUCGAACAGACCUCKUUUGAAACGCCUAUCUGCGACGCUAUAGCUUUGGGUACUUUCAGGACCCGUCUUGAAACACGGACCAAGGAGUCUAGCAUGUGCGCGAGUCAUUGGGAAAUAACUAAACCUAAAGGCGCAAUGAAAGUGAAGGUCCGCCUUGCGCGGACCGAGGGAAGAUGGGCGGUUCGCCUCAAAGCGGCCGCCCCGCACUCCCGGGGCGUCUCGUUCUCAUCGCGAGAAGA